UCACCGAUAUUGAUCGCCAGGGUUGAUUCGGCUGAUCUGGCUGGCUAGG
RNAcentral lists this small nuclear RNA (49 nucleotides) under Nestor notabilis (Kea). RNAcentral describes it as "7SK RNA". It matches the Rfam family "7SK RNA", at positions 32 to 79 of the family's 331-position model. Rfam says of the family: 7SK was discovered as an abundant small nuclear RNA in the mid-70s but a possible function has only recently been suggested. Two independent studies have found that 7SK RNA binds the CDK9/cyclin T complex (known as elongation factor P-TEFb). The record is from Rfam by way of RNAcentral. Lineage: Eukaryota; Metazoa; Chordata; Aves; Psittaciformes; Psittacidae.